GGGUUCACACGACACAGCAUCGCUGUGUAGACCAAAGUCGAUGUCGUGUGGACCCGCUAUAAAAUUUUGUGAAGUGAUAAGCACCACCGAAGUCAAGGUAGUCGGCACAAGUCGGCAGUAGUCGGGGUAUCUAUAAGUUACGAUGGAGGAGAAGGAAUCGGGGAAAUGGGAUAUUGUUAUCCCAAUAUGUAUGAAUAUGAUAAUGUCGAUAGUGGCAUAUUUUUUAACGGUACGCCUAAUUCCCAGAGUGAAAGACACUUUCAUCAAAGCUAACUUAUACGGGAUAGACUUGAAUAAAAGGAGCAGCGAAAAGGUACCAGAGGCACUGGGUGUUAUUAGUGGAUGCACGUUUCUUAUAACAUUGUUUCUUUUUAUUCCAAUACCUUUCGGAGAGUAUUUAUUCCACCAGGUGAAUUUUCCACAUCAUGAGUUCGUUGAUAUGCUAGCAGCGUUACUUUCUAUAUGUUGUAUGCUGUUAUUGGGUUUUGCGGAUGACGUCUUGGAUUUGCAAUGGAGGCAUAAGCUGCUUCUACCUACUAUCGCAUCACUGCCAUUAUUAAUGGUAUACUAUGUUAAUUUCAAUUCUACUAUGAUCAUAGUACCAAAACCGUUGAGGUCGUGGUUUGGAUUUACCAUUGACUUGGGGAUAGUAUACUAUUUAUACAUGGGGAUGCUUGCUGUGUUUUGUACAAAUGCCAUAAACAUUCUCGCUGGUAUUAAUGGACUGGAAGUUGGACAAAGUUUGGUGAUAGCUACAAGCAUAGCUAUAUUUAAUUUCAUCGAGUUAUCUGGUGACCUGUGGAAGGCUCAUCGAUUCUCCCUCUACUUUGUACUGCCAUACAUAAUGACCUCGCUUGCUCUCUUCAGAUAUAAUCGAUACCCUUCGCAAGUGUUCGUAGGGGACACAUUCUGCUAUUUGUCGGGUAUGACAUUUGCCGUGGUCGGCAUCAUUGGCCAUUUUAGCAAGACUGCGAUCCUUUUCUUCAUACCGCAGAUAUUGAACUUCCUGUACAGCGUACCACAAUUAUUCCACCUACUGCCCUGUCCACGUCACAGGAUACCAAAUUCCCGGGUAUGCACUAUAUGUCCACGGUACGUGUGUCCCGCACAGUUCACGCUCGAGCACUGACCGAUCAAAUUAUGAAAAAUAUCGUUAAUUAUUAUGUGAUGGUAAAAGUAUCGAAUAUCGUGGAGUCGCAUAGUAAUGCCAGUAAACCGUUCACGGUCGUAGAUACAAUAUGGAAACUGGAAAACUUGAUCCUAGCGUCACAGUUUUCAACAUGGCCGAUUUAAAUCCCGUAGCCAGAUUAAUCAUGUGGAUGUUCAAAAUGUUGCGGUUAGUC
This 1343-nucleotide unclassified non-coding RNA is filed under the name Orussus abietinus. Its description in RNAcentral is "uDP-N-acetylglucosamine--dolichyl-phosphate N- acetylglucosaminephosphotransferase, transcript variant X2". The record is from RNAcentral. Lineage: Eukaryota; Metazoa; Arthropoda; Insecta; Hymenoptera; Orussidae.